GCGGUCGUGGCGGAAUUGGUAGACGCGCUAGCUUGAGGUGCUAGUAACUUAACCGUUGUGGAGGUUCGAGUCCUCUCGACCGCACCA
This 87-nucleotide transfer RNA is filed under the name Alsobacter metallidurans. RNAcentral's name for it is "tRNA-Leu". It matches the Rfam family "tRNA". Rfam says of the family: Transfer RNA (tRNA) molecules are approximately 80 nucleotides in length. The record is from RNAcentral. Lineage: Bacteria; Pseudomonadati; Pseudomonadota; Alphaproteobacteria; Hyphomicrobiales; Alsobacteraceae. RNAcentral also lists the same sequence under 6 other names.